CACGUGUAGCAGUGAAAUGCGUAGAGAUGUGGAGGAAUACCGAUGGCGAAGGCAGCCCCCUGGGAUAACACUGACGCUCAUGUACGAAAGCGUGGGUAGCAAACAGGAUUAGAUACCCUGGUAGUCCACGCCCUAAACGAUGUCAACUGGUUGUUGGGGGAGUGAAAUCCCUUAGUAACGAAGCUAACGCGUGAAGUUGACCGCCUGGGGAGUACGGUCGCAAGAUUAAAACUCAAAGGAAUUGACGGGGACCCGCACAAGCGGUGGAUGAUGUGGAUUAAUUCGAUGCAACGCGAAAAACCUUACCUACCCUUGACAUGUCCACGAACCCUGCAGAGAUGCGGGGGUGCCCGAAAGGGAAUCUGGAACACAGGUGCUGCAUGGCUGUCGUCAGCUCGUGUCGUGAGAUGUUGGGUUAAGUCCCGCAACGAUCGCAACCCGUAUCAUUAGUUGCUACGCAAGGGCACUCUAAUGAGACUGCCGGUGACAAACCGGAGGAAGGUGGGGAUGACGUCAAGUCCUCAUGGCCCUUAUGGGUAGGGCUUCACACGUCAUACAAUGGUCGGUACAGAGGGUUGCCAAGCCGCGAGGCGGAGCCAAUCCCAGAAAGCCGAUCGUAGUCCGGAUUGUUCUCUGCAACUCGAGUAGCAUGAAGUCGGAAUCGCUAGUAAUCGCGGAUCAGCAUGUCGCGGUGAAUACGUUCCCGGGUCUUGUACACACCGCCCGUCACACCAUGGGAGUGGAAUGCUGCCAGAAGUAGGUAGCCUAACCGCAAGGAGGGCGCUUACCACGGUGGGCUUCAUGACUGGGGUG
RNAcentral lists this ribosomal RNA (813 nucleotides) under uncultured Thiobacillus sp. Its description in RNAcentral is "bacterial SSU rRNA". It matches the Rfam family "Bacterial small subunit ribosomal RNA", at positions 670 to 1482 of the family's 1533-position model. Lineage: Bacteria; Pseudomonadati; Pseudomonadota; Betaproteobacteria; Nitrosomonadales; Thiobacillaceae. The record is from RNAcentral.